GUGCUUAACACAUGCAAGUCGAACGCUGAAGCUUGGUGCUUGCACUGGGUGGAUGAGUGGCGAACGGGUGAGUAUCACGUGAGUAACCUGCCCCUGACUUCGGGAUAAGCCUGGGAAACUGGGUCUAAUACCGGAUAUGACCAUCUUUCGCAUGUUGGGUGGUGGAAAGUUUUUCGGUUGGGGAUGGGCUCGCGGCCUAUCAGUUUGUUGGUGGGGUAAUGGCCUACCAAGACGACGACGGGUAGCCGGCCUGAGAGGGCGACCGGCCACACUGGGACUGAGACACGGCCCAGACUCCUACGGGAGGCAGCAGUGGGGAAUAUUGCACAAUGGGGGAAACCCUGAUGCAGCGACGCCGCGUGGGGGAUGACGGCCUUCGGGUUGUAAACCUCUUUCAGUAGGGAAGAAGCCUUUGGGUGACGGUACCUGCAGAAGAAGUACCGGCUAACUACGUGCCAGCAGCCGCGGUAAUACGUAGGGUACAAGCGUUGUCCGGAAUUAUUGGGCGUAAAGAGCUCGUAGGUGGUUUGUCGCGUCUGCUGUGGAAUCGUGCCGCUUAACGGUGCGCGUGCAGUGGGUACGGGCAGACUGGAGUGCAGUAGGGGAGUCUGGAAUUCCUGGUGUAGCGGUGAAAUGCGCAGAUAUCAGGAGGAACACCGGUGGCGAAGGCGGGACUCUGGGCUGUUACUGACGCUGAGGAGCGAAAGCAUGGGGAGCGAACAGGAUUAGAUACCCUGGUAGUCCA
Molecule: ribosomal RNA, 745 nt
Filed under: Brevibacterium ravenspurgense
Lineage: Bacteria; Bacillati; Actinomycetota; Actinomycetes; Micrococcales; Brevibacteriaceae
Description: bacterial SSU rRNA
Rfam family: Bacterial small subunit ribosomal RNA
Source: RNAcentral